This 45-nucleotide non-coding RNA is filed under the name Trichobilharzia regenti. Lineage: Eukaryota; Metazoa; Platyhelminthes; Trematoda; Strigeidida; Schistosomatidae. The record is from RNAcentral.
AUCUAGCAGACGAGUCCUAAAUAGGACCAAAUGCGCGUCUUAGAU